CUACGGGCCGCUGCAGUAAGGAAUAUUGCGCAAUGGAGGCAACUCUGACGCAGCCAUGCCGCGUGCAGGAAGAAGGCCUUAUGGGUCGUAAACUGCUUUUAUUUAGGAAUAAACCCCCGAACGUGUUCGGGGCUGAAGGUACUAAACGAAUAAGCACCGGCUAACUCCGUGCCAGCAGCCGCGGUAAUACGGAGGGUGCAAGCGUUAUCCGGAUUUAUUGGGUUUAAAGGGUGCGCAGGCGGGCUAUUAAGUCAGUGGUGAAAUCCCGGGGCUCAACUCCGGAACUGCCAUUGAUACUGAUAGUCUUGAGUUUGGUUGAAGUGGGCGGAAUGUAGCAUGUAGCGGUGAAAUGCAUAGAUAUGCUACAGAACACCAAUCGCGAAGGCAGCUCACUAAGCCAAAACUGACGCUCAUGCACGAAAGCGUGGGGAUCAAACAGGAUUAGAUACCCGCGUAGUC
This 459-nucleotide ribosomal RNA is filed under the name uncultured bacterium. RNAcentral's name for it is "partial 16S ribosomal RNA". It matches the Rfam family "Bacterial small subunit ribosomal RNA", at positions 339 to 795 of the family's 1533-position model. The record is from RNAcentral.